UCAGAGAAUAUUUACGACCUUGUUGAG
Molecule: small RNA, 27 nt
Filed under: Bombyx mori (domestic silkworm)
Lineage: Eukaryota; Metazoa; Arthropoda; Insecta; Lepidoptera; Bombycidae
Description: ovarian small RNA-25597
Source: RNAcentral